Molecule: ribosomal RNA, 443 nt
Filed under: uncultured bacterium
Lineage: Bacteria
Description: partial 16S ribosomal RNA
Rfam family: Bacterial small subunit ribosomal RNA
Source: RNAcentral
CCUACGGGAGGCAGCAGUGGGGAAUAUUGGGCAAUGGGCGCAAGCCUGACCCAGCAACGCCGCGUGAAGGAAGAAGGCUUUCGGGUUGUAAACUUCUUUUGUCAGGGCCGAAGCAAGUGACGGUACCUGACGAAUAAGCCACGGCUAACUACGUGCCAGCAGCCGCGGUAAUACGUAGGGGGCAAGCGUUAUCCGGAUUUACUGGGUGUAAAGGGCGUGUAGGCGGGACGGAAAGUCAGAUGUGAAAACCACGGGCUCAACCUGUGGCCUGCAUUUGAAACUGUAGUGCUUGAGUGCUGGAGAGGCAGACGGAAUUCCUGGUGUAGCGGUGAAAUGCGUAGAUAUUAGGAGGAACACCAGUGGCGAAAGCGGUCUGCUGGACAGCAACUGACGCUGAGGCGCGAAAGCGUGGGGAGCAAACAGGAUUAGAUACCCUUGUAGUC